This 402-nucleotide ribosomal RNA is filed under the name frog metagenome. RNAcentral's name for it is "bacterial SSU rRNA". It matches the Rfam family "Bacterial small subunit ribosomal RNA", at positions 355 to 774 of the family's 1533-position model. The record is from RNAcentral.
UGGGGAAUAUUGCACAAUGGGCGAAAGCCUGAUGCAGCGACGCCGCGUGAGGGAAGAAGGUUUUCGGAUUGUAAACCUCUGUCUUCGGGGACGAUAAUGACGGUACCCGAGGAGGAAGCCACGGCUAACUACGUGCCAGCAGCCGCGGUAAAACGUAGGUGGCAAGCGUUGUCCGGAAUUACUGGGUGUAAAGGGAGCGCAGGCGGAAGGGCAAGUUGGGAGUGAAAACUAUGGGCUCAACCCAUAGACUGCUUUCAAAACUGCUUUUCUUGAGUGAUGUAGAGGUAGGCGGAAUUCCCGGUGUAGCGGUGGAAUGCGUAGAUAUCGGGAGGAACACCAGUGGCGAAGGCGGCCUACUGGGCAUUUACUGACGCUGAGGCUCGAAAGUAUGGGGAGCAAACA